Molecule: ribosomal RNA, 1120 nt
Filed under: Escherichia coli
Lineage: Bacteria; Pseudomonadati; Pseudomonadota; Gammaproteobacteria; Enterobacterales; Enterobacteriaceae
Description: partial 23S ribosomal RNA
Rfam family: Bacterial large subunit ribosomal RNA
Source: RNAcentral
UGCUAAUCUGCGAUAAGCGUCGGUAAGGUGAUAUGAACCGUUAUAACCGGCGAUUUCCGAAUGGGGAAACCCAGUGUGUUUCGACACACUAUCAUUAACUGAAUCCAUAGGUUAAUGAGGCGAACCGGGGGAACUGAAACAUCUAAGUACCCCGAGGAAAAGAAAUCAACCGAGAUUCCCCCAGUAGCGGCGAGCGAACGGGGAGCAGCCCAGAGCCUGAAUCAGUGUGUGUGUUAGUGGAAGCGUCUGGAAAGGCGUGCGAUACAGGGUGACAGCCCCGUACACAAAAAUGCACAUGCUGUGAGCUCGAUGAGUAGGGCGGGACACGUGGUAUCCUGUCUGAAUAUGGGGGGACCAUCCUCCAAGGCUAAAUACUCCUGACUGACCGAUAGUGAACCAGUACCGUGAGGGAAAGGCGAAAAGAACCCCGGCGAGGGGAGUGAAAAAGAACCUGAAACCGUGUACGUACAAGCAGUGGGAGCACGCUUAGGCGUGUGACUGCGUACCUUUUGUAUAAUGGGUCAGCGACUUAUAUUCUGUAGCAAGGUUAACCGAAUAGGGGAGCCGAAGGGAAACCGAGUCUUAACUGGGCGUUAAGUUGCAGGGUAUAGACCCGAAACCCGGUGAUCUAGCCAUGGGCAGGUUGAAGGUUGGGUAACACUAACUGGAGGACCGAACCGACUAAUGUUGAAAAAUUAGCGGAUGACUUGUGGCUGGGGGUGAAAGGCCAAUCAAACCGGGAGAUAGCUGGUUCUCCCCGAAAGCUAUUUAGGUAGCGCCUCGUGAAUUCAUCUCCGGGGGUAGAGCACUGUUUCGGCAAGGGGGUCAUCCCGACUUACCAACCCGAUGCAAACUGCGAAUACCGGAGAAUGUUAUCACGGGAGACACACGGCGGGUGCUAACGUCCGUCGUGAAGAGGGAAACAACCCAGACCGCCAGCUAAGGUCCCAAAGUCAUGGUUAAGUGGGAAACGAUGUGGGAAGGCCCAGACAGCCAGGAUGUUGGCUUAGAAGCAGCCAUCAUUUAAAGAAAGCGUAAUAGCUCACUGGUCGAGUCGGCCUGCGCGGAAGAUGUAACGGGGCUAAACCAUGCACCGAAGCUGCGGCAGCGACGCUUAUGC